RNAcentral lists this transfer RNA (63 nucleotides) under Echinostoma paraensei. Its description in RNAcentral is "tRNA-Arg". The record is from RNAcentral. Lineage: Eukaryota; Metazoa; Platyhelminthes; Trematoda; Plagiorchiida; Echinostomatidae.
UGUUUGAUAUUCCUUGGGGAGUUUAUGUUUCGGCCAUAAAUUUGGGAAGGUUUUCUCUAUCAA